Molecule: ribosomal RNA, 942 nt
Filed under: Typhula sclerotioides
Lineage: Eukaryota; Fungi; Basidiomycota; Agaricomycetes; Agaricales; Typhulaceae
Description: partial large subunit ribosomal RNA
Rfam family: Eukaryotic large subunit ribosomal RNA
Source: RNAcentral
UGACCUCAAAUCAGGUAGGACUACCCGCUGAACUUAAGCAUAUCAAUAAGCGGAGGAAAAGAAACUAACAAGGAUUCCCCUAGUAACUGCGAGUGAAGCGGGAAAAGCUCAAAUUUAAAAUCUGGUGGUCCUCGCGGCCGUCCGAGUUGUAAUCUGGAGAAGUGUUUUCCGCGCUGGACCGUGUACAAGUCUUCUUGAACGGAGCAUCAUAGAGGGUGAGAAUCCCGUCUUUGACACGGACUGCCAGUGCUUUUGUGAUACGCUCUCAACGAGUCGAGUUGUUUGGGAAUGCAGCUCAAAAUGGGUGGUAAAUUCCAUCUAAAGCUAAAUAUUGGCGAGAGACCGAUAGCGAACAAGUACCGUGAGGGAAAGAUGAAAAGAACUUUGGAAAGAGAGUUAAACAGUACGUGAAAUUGUUAAAAGGGAAACGCUUGAAGUCAGUCGCGUCGUUCGGGGAUCAACCUUGCAUUUAUGCUGGGCGUACUUCCCGUUCGAUGGGUCAGCAUCAGUUUUGACCGUUGGAUAAAGUUGGAGGGAAUGUGGCAUCUUCGGGUGUGUUAUAGCCCUUCUUCGCAUGCAACGAUUGGGACUGAGGAACUCAGCACGCCUUUAUGGUCGGGGUUUACCCACGUAACGUGCUUAGGAUGCUGGCAUAAUGGCUUUAAUCGACCCGUCUUGAAACACGGACCAAGGAGUCUAACAUGCCCGCGAGUGUUUGGGUGGAAAACCCGAGCGCGUAAUGAAAGUGAAAGUUGAGAUCUCUGUCGUGGAGAGCAUCGACGCCCGGACCAGACGUUCUCUGACGGUUCCGCGGUAGAGCGUGUAUGUUGGGACCCGAAAGAUGGUGAACUAUGCCUGAAUAGGGUGAAGCCAGAGGAAACUCUGGUGGAGGCUCGUAGCGAUUCUGACGUGCAAAUCGAUCGUCGAAUUUGGGUAUAGGGG